CGAAGCGCUACCGACGGAACUUUUCGGAGGGAAGAUGGUAAUGACUGAGUGGCGGACGGGUGAGUAACGCGUGGGUAACCUGCCUCACAGAGGGGGACAACAGCCGGAAACGGCUGCUAAUACCGCAUAACAAGGGAUCUCCGCAUGAAGGUUCCUUCAAAGAUUUAUCGCUGUGAGAUGGACCCGCGUCUGAUUAGCUAGUUGGCAGGGUAACGGCCUACCAAGGCGACGAUCAGUAGCCGGCUUGAGAGAGUGAACGGCCACAUUGGGACUGAGACACGGCCCAGACUCCUACGGGAGGCAGCAGUGGGGAAUAUUGCACAAUGGGGGAAACCCUGAUGCAGCGACGCCGCGUGAGUGAAGAAGUAUUUCGGUAUGUAAAGCUCUAUCAGCAGGGAAGAUAAUGACGGUACCUGACUAAGAAGCCCCGGCUAACUACGUGCCAGCAGCCGCGGUAAUACGUAGGGGGCAAGCGUUAUCCGGAUUUACUGGGUGUAAAGGGAGCGUAGGUGGCAGGGCAAGUCAGAUGUGAAAACCCGGGGCUCAACCCCGGGAUUGCAUUUGAAACUGUCCGGCUGGAGUG
This 583-nucleotide ribosomal RNA is filed under the name uncultured bacterium. RNAcentral describes it as "bacterial SSU rRNA". It matches the Rfam family "Bacterial small subunit ribosomal RNA", at positions 63 to 648 of the family's 1533-position model. The record is from RNAcentral.